RNAcentral lists this non-coding RNA (48 nucleotides) under unclassified sequences. Its description in RNAcentral is "eL15-Euryarchaeota ribosomal protein leader". It matches the Rfam family "eL15-Euryarchaeota ribosomal protein leader". The record is from RNAcentral.
GCGGACUAACUGUCCGCUGGGAUGUAGCCAUAUAGGCUGAACCGUAAA